RNAcentral lists this ribosomal RNA (484 nucleotides) under uncultured bacterium. RNAcentral describes it as "partial 16S ribosomal RNA". It matches the Rfam family "Bacterial small subunit ribosomal RNA", at positions 30 to 507 of the family's 1533-position model. The record is from RNAcentral.
AUUGAACGCUGGCGGCAGGCCUAACACAUGCAAGUCGAGCGGAUGAAGGGAGCUUGCUCCUGGAUUCAGCGGCGGACGGGUGAGUAAUGCCUAGGAAUCUGCCUGGUAGUGGGGGAUAACGUCCGGAAACGGGCGCUAAUACCGCAUACGUCCUGAGGGAGAAAGUGGGGGAUCUUCGGGCCUCACGCUAUCAGAUGUGCCUAGGUCGGAUUAGCUAGUUGGUGGGGUAAAGGCCUACCAAGGCGACGAUCCGUAACUGGUCUGAGAGGAUGAUCAGUCACACUGGAACUGAGACACGGUCCAGACUCCUACGGGAGGCAGCAGUGGGGAAUAUUGGACAAUGGGCGAAAGCCUGAUCCAGCCAUGCCGCGUGUGUGAAGAAGGUCUUCGGAUUGUAAAGCACUUUAAGUUGGGAGGAAGGGCAGUAAGUUAAUACCUUGCUGUUUUGACGUUACCAACAGAAUAAGCACCGGCUAACUUCGUG